CAGCCGCCACGGUAAUACGUAGGGUGCAAGCGUUAAUCGGAAUUACUGGGCGUAAAGCGUGCGCAGGCGGUUAUAUAAGACAGAUGUGAAAUCCCCGGGCUCAACCUGGGAACUGCAUUUGUGACUGUAUAGCUAGAGUACGGCAGAGGGGGAUGGAAUUCCGCGUGUAGCAGUGAAAUGCGUAGAUAUGCGGAGGAACACCGAUGGCGAAGGCAAUCCCCUGGGCCUGUACUGACGCUCAUGCACGAAAGCGUGGGGAGCAAACAGGAUUAGAGACCCCCGUAGUCCCUGUCUCUUAUAU
Molecule: ribosomal RNA, 301 nt
Filed under: uncultured bacterium
Lineage: Bacteria
Description: partial 16S ribosomal RNA
Rfam family: Bacterial small subunit ribosomal RNA
Source: RNAcentral